AUUGAACGCUGGCGGCAGGCCUAACACAUGCAAGUCGAACGCGUGGCGGACGGGUGGGUAAUGUCUGGGAAACUUCCUGAUGGAGGGGGAUAACUACUGGAAACGGUAGCUGAUACCGCCUACCAUACGAUGUGCCCAGAUGGGAUUAGCUAGUUGGUGGGGUAACGGCUGACCAAGGCGACGAUCCCUAGCUGGUCUGAGAGGAUGACCAGCCACACGGGAACUGAGACACGGGCCAGACUCCUACGGGAGGCAGCAGUGGGGAAUAUUGCACAAUGGGCGAAAGCCUGAUGCAGCCAUGCCGCGUGUAUGAAGAAGGCCUUCGGGUUGUAAAGUACUUUCAGCUGGGAGGCGUUACCCGCAGAAGAAGCACCGGCUAACUCCGUGCCAGCAGCCGCGGUAAUAC
This 406-nucleotide ribosomal RNA is filed under the name uncultured bacterium. RNAcentral's name for it is "partial 16S ribosomal RNA". It matches the Rfam family "Bacterial small subunit ribosomal RNA", at positions 30 to 526 of the family's 1533-position model. The record is from RNAcentral.